UAUUCUAGCUAUUAUGUUAAUUUAUAAUCAACAAAUUAUAUGGGCUAUAAAUUUUUGAUACUUAUUUUCCAGUAAUUAAUUUUAUUUAUAAAUAAUUUGCUUAAUUUGAAUUAGUUAUUGAUUAGUAAUAGAUAAAAAUUUGUGCCAGCAUUCGCGGUUAAACAAUUUAUUAAAGUUAAUUAUAUAGAUUUUAUCAAUUUUUUAUUGUUAGAGAAUCAGUUUUUUUUUAUUUAGGUGGAAUUUAUAUAUUUUGUACAUUUCUUAUUUUUUUUUGUGAGAUUUAUGUAUUAAACUAGGAUUAGAUACCCUAUUAUAUUUAAAUGUAAAAAAUUUAAUCUGAAUAGUAUUAGUUUAUAAGGCCUUUAAAGCUCAAAGAAUUUGGCGGUAAAAUAUUUUUUUAGAGGAAUCUGUAAAAUAAUUGAUAAACCACGAUAUUCUUUACUUUAUUUUUUAUUUGUAUACCGCUAUAUCGACUAGAAAUGUUUUUUUAAAAUAUUUUUUUUUACUAUAUUGAUAUAUAUUAGGUCAAGGUGCAGUUUUAAUAAAGUUUUUAUGGAUUACUUUAAUUUUAAAUUAUUAGGACAUUCUUCUUAUUAGAAGAUUUUAAAUGAGGAUUUAACAGUAAAUUUUAACUAAUUAGUUAUUUUGAAUUUUACUUUAUUUUAUGCACAUAUCGCCCGUCACUCCUAAUUUUAAUUUAGGAUAAGUCGUAACAAAGUAAUUUCACCGGAAGGUGAAGUUAGAAGUACAUUUUAUA
RNAcentral lists this non-coding RNA (757 nucleotides) under Phlogotettix monozoneus. The record is from RNAcentral. Lineage: Eukaryota; Metazoa; Arthropoda; Insecta; Hemiptera; Cicadellidae.